This 253-nucleotide ribosomal RNA is filed under the name uncultured bacterium. RNAcentral describes it as "partial 16S ribosomal RNA". It matches the Rfam family "Bacterial small subunit ribosomal RNA", at positions 524 to 776 of the family's 1533-position model. The record is from RNAcentral.
GACAGAGGAUGCAAGCGUUAUCCGGAAUGAUUGGGCGUAAAGCGUCUGUAGGUGGCUUUUUAAGUCUGCCGUCAAAUCCCAGGGCUUAACCCUGGACAGGCGGUGGAAACUACCAAGCUGGAGUACGGUAGGGGCAGAGGGAAUUUCCGGUGGAGCGGUGAAAUGCGUAGAGAUCGGAAGGAACGCCGGUGGCGAAAGCGGCGGACUGGGCACCUUCUGACGCUGAGGCGCGAAAGCCAGGGGAGCAAACGGG